This 73-nucleotide transfer RNA is filed under the name Thermoleophilia bacterium. RNAcentral describes it as "tRNA-Thr". It matches the Rfam family "tRNA". From Rfam's summary of the family: Transfer RNA (tRNA) molecules are approximately 80 nucleotides in length. Their secondary structure includes four short double-helical elements and three loops (D, anti-codon, and T loops). Further hydrogen bonds mediate the characteristic L-shaped molecular structure. tRNAs have two regions of fundamental functional importance: the anti-codon, which is responsible for specific mRNA codon recognition, and the 3' end, to which the tRNAs corresponding amino acid is attached (by aminoacyl-tRNA synthetases). tRNAs cope with the degeneracy of the genetic code in two manners: having more than one tRNA (with a specific anti-codon) for a particular amino acid; and 'wobble' base-pairing, i.e. permitting non-standard base-pairing at the 3rd anti-codon position. The record is from RNAcentral. Lineage: Bacteria; Bacillati; Actinomycetota; Thermoleophilia.
GCCCAGUUAGCUCAGUUGGUAGAGCACGUCCAUGGUAAGGACGGGGUCGGCGGUUCGAGUCCGCCACUGGGCU